RNAcentral lists this ribosomal RNA (231 nucleotides) under uncultured bacterium. Its description in RNAcentral is "partial 16S ribosomal RNA". It matches the Rfam family "Bacterial small subunit ribosomal RNA", at positions 546 to 776 of the family's 1533-position model. The record is from RNAcentral.
CGGAUUCAUUGGGCGUAAAGGGUGUGUAGGCGGAAGCGUAAGUACCUUGUGAAAUCCCACGGCUCAACCGUGGAACUGCUGGGUAUACUGCGUUUCUUGAGCCAUUUAGGGGCGAGUGGAACGGAUGGUGGAGCGGUGAAAUGCAUAGAUAUCAUCCGGAACGCCUGUGGUGAAGACGACUCGCUGGGAAUGUGCUGACGCUGAGACACGAAAGCCAGGGGAGCAAACGGG